This 2905-nucleotide ribosomal RNA is filed under the name Enterobacter hormaechei. RNAcentral's name for it is "23S ribosomal RNA". It matches the Rfam family "Bacterial large subunit ribosomal RNA". Lineage: Bacteria; Pseudomonadati; Pseudomonadota; Gammaproteobacteria; Enterobacterales; Enterobacteriaceae. The record is from RNAcentral.
GGUUAAGCGACUAAGCGUACACGGUGGAUGCCCUGGCAGUCAGAGGCGAUGAAGGACGUGCUAAUCUGCGAAAAGCGCCGGCGAGGUGAUAUGAACCCUUGACCCGGCGAUGUCCGAAUGGGGAAACCCAGUGCAAUCCGUUGCACUAUCGUUAACUGAAUACAUAGGUUAACGAGGCGAACCGGGGGAACUGAAACAUCUAAGUACCCCGAGGAAAAGAAAUCAACCGAGAUUCCCCCAGUAGCGGCGAGCGAACGGGGAGCAGCCCGGAGUCUGAAUCAGCUUGUGUGUUAGUGGAACGGUCUGGAAAGUCCGACGGUACAGGGUGAUAGUCCCGUACACGAAAGCACACAUGCUGUGAACUCGAAGAGUAGGGCGGGACACGUGGUAUCCUGUCUGAAUAUGGGGGGACCAUCCUCCAAGGCUAAAUACUCCUGACUGACCGAUAGUGAACCAGUACCGUGAGGGAAAGGCGAAAAGAACCCCGGCGAGGGGAGUGAAAAAGAACCUGAAACCGUGUACGUACAAGCAGUGGGAGCCUCUUUAUGGGGUGACUGCGUACCUUUUGUAUAAUGGGUCAGCGACUUAUAUUCUGUAGCAAGGUUAACCGUAUAGGGGAGCCGAAGGGAAACCGAGUCUUAACUGGGCGUUAAGUUGCAGGGUAUAGACCCGAAACCCGGUGAUCUAGCCAUGGGCAGGUUGAAGGUUGGGUAACACUAACUGGAGGACCGAACCGACUAAUGUUGAAAAAUUAGCGGAUGACCUGUGGCUGGGGGUGAAAGGCCAAUCAAACCGGGAGAUAGCUGGUUCUCCCCGAAAGCUAUUUAGGUAGCGCCUCGUGAACUCAUCUUCGGGGGUAGAGCACUGUUUCGGCUAGGGGGCCAUCCCGGCUUACCAACCCGAUGCAAACUACGAAUACCGAAGAAUGUUAUCACGGGAGACACACGGCGGGUGCUAACGUCCGUCGUGAAGAGGGAAACAACCCAGACCGCCAGCUAAGGUCCCAAAGUCAUGGUUAAGUGGGAAACGAUGUGGGAAGGCACAGACAGCCAGGAUGUUGGCUUAGAAGCAGCCAUCAUUUAAAGAAAGCGUAAUAGCUCACUGGUCGAGUCGGCCUGCGCGGAAGAUGUAACGGGGCUAAACCAUGCACCGAAGCUGCGGCAGCGACACUAUGUGUUGUUGGGUAGGGGAGCGUUCUGUAAGCCGUUGAAGGUGUGCUGUGAGGCAUGCUGGAGGUAUCAGAAGUGCGAAUGCUGACAUAAGUAACGAUAAAGCGGGUGAAAAGCCCGCUCGCCGGAAGACCAAGGGUUCCUGUCCAACGUUAAUCGGGGCAGGGUGAGUCGACCCCUAAGGCGAGGCCGAAAGGCGUAGUCGAUGGGAAACAGGUUAAUAUUCCUGUACUUGGUGUUACUGCGAAGGGGGGACGGAGAAGGCUAUGUCAGCCGGGCGACGGUUGUCCCGGUUUAAGCAUGUAGGCGGAGGUUCCAGGUAAAUCCGGUACCUUAUUAACGCUGAGGUGUGAUGACGAGGCACUACGGUGCUGAAGUGAUAAAUGCCCUGCUUCCAGGAAAAGCCUCUAAGCAUCAGGUAACACGAAAUCGUACCCCAAACCGACACAGGUGGUCAGGUAGAGAAUACCAAGGCGCUUGAGAGAACUCGGGUGAAGGAACUAGGCAAAAUGGUGCCGUAACUUCGGGAGAAGGCACGCUGAUGUGUAGGUGAAGCCCCUGCGGGCGGAGCUGAAAUCAGUCGAAGAUACCAGCUGGCUGCAACUGUUUAUUAAAAACACAGCACUGUGCAAACACGAAAGUGGACGUAUACGGUGUGACGCCUGCCCGGUGCCGGAAGGUUAAUUGAUGGGGUUAGCGGCAACGCGAAGCUCUUGAUCGAAGCCCCGGUAAACGGCGGCCGUAACUAUAACGGUCCUAAGGUAGCGAAAUUCCUUGUCGGGUAAGUUCCGACCUGCACGAAUGGCGUAAUGAUGGCCAGGCUGUCUCCACCCGAGACUCAGUGAAAUUGAACUCGCUGUGAAGAUGCAGUGUACCCGCGGCAAGACGGAAAGACCCCGUGAACCUUUACUAUAGCUUGACACUGAACACUGGUCCUUGAUGUGUAGGAUAGGUGGGAGGCUUUGAAGCGUGGACGCCAGUCUGCGUGGAGCCAACCUUGAAAUACCACCCUUUAAUGGCUGGUGUUCUAACGUAGACCCGUAAUCCGGGUUGCGGACAGUGUCUGGUGGGUAGUUUGACUGGGGCGGUCUCCUCCCAAAGAGUAACGGAGGAGCACGAAGGUUGGCUAAUCCUGGUCGGACAUCAGGAGGUUAGUGCAAUGGCAUAAGCCAGCUUGACUGCGAGCGUGACGGCGCGAGCAGGUGCGAAAGCAGGUCAUAGUGAUCCGGUGGUUCUGAAUGGAAGGGCCAUCGCUCAACGGAUAAAAGGUACUCCGGGGAUAACAGGCUGAUACCGCCCAAGAGUUCAUAUCGACGGCGGUGUUUGGCACCUCGAUGUCGGCUCAUCACAUCCUGGGGCUGAAGUAGGUCCCAAGGGUAUGGCUGUUCGCCAUUUAAAGUGGUACGCGAGCUGGGUUUAGAACGUCGUGAGACAGUUCGGUCCCUAUCUGCCGUGGGCGCUGGAGAAUUGAGGGGGGCUGCUCCUAGUACGAGAGGACCGGAGUGGACGCAUCACUGGUGUUCGGGUUGUCAUGCCAAUGGCACUGCCCGGUAGCUAAAUGCGGAAGAGAUAAGUGCUGAAAGCAUCUAAGCACGAAACUUGCCCCGAGAUGAGUUCUCCCUGAGACUUUAAGUCUCCUGAAGGAACGUUGAAGACGACGACGUUGAUAGGUCGGGUGUGUAAGCGCAGCGAUGCGUUGAGCUAACCGAUACUAAUGAACCGUGAGGCUUAACCUU